This 541-nucleotide long non-coding RNA is filed under the name Bos taurus (domestic cattle). RNAcentral describes it as "long non-coding RNA NONBTAT026459". Lineage: Eukaryota; Metazoa; Chordata; Mammalia; Artiodactyla; Bovidae. The record is from RNAcentral.
ACUGUUAUAUCAGCCUGAAUAGCCAGCUAUGGUCUAAACCAGUCCAGUGUUUUCUCUGUGCUGGGCGCUGUUAGUGUCCAAGAGAGUGUGUUCAGAGAACACAGCUUUUCUGACCUCUUUCUUGAAGUGGUUUCAGUUCCUAUUUUUUUCUCUUGUUUCCCAAAGUUGACCUAGAUGUAACCUGGGUGUGGUGGGCUGAAACCUUCCUAAGAAGGGUCUAUUGACCUAAGGUUUAUUUUCUGAAACCCACUGUCCCAAACUGACCUUUUAAUUCUCACAAUUGUACCUUCCCAAAGUCAUCUGUAAAGGGAAUCUAUACUGGAGAAGAAGUUCCUUUCAGUAGAGUCAGAUGCCAGCUGCCUGUCCUAUGAGGCUGUGGGAUUGAGGGUGGAUACUGUGGUUUCUGUUGUAUGUGUGAAGUGAACAAAAUAGUAUUUGGUGUGGAUUAGUAUUGUACUGGAAAGCAUAACUUGGGAUCCUGGACUGUCACUUGCUCCUUUGUUCUCCAUCCCCCCUGAAAUGUCUGUGUGCUUCAAUAAAA